UCUGGUCUUGGGACACUGUCAGGUGGGCAGUUUGACUGGGGCGGUCGCCUCCCAAAAGGUAACGGAGGCGCUCAAAGGUUCUCUCAGUACGGUCGGAAAUCGUACGUAGAGUGUAAAGGCAAAAGAGAGCUUGAUUGCAAGACAUACAGGUCGAGCAAGGAUGAAAAUCGGACUUAGUGAUCCGGUGGUUCUGCGUGGAAGGGCCAUCGCUCAACGGAUAAAAGCUACCCUGGGGAUAACAGGCUUAUCUCCCCCAAGAGUCCACAUCGACGGGGAGGUUUGGCACCUCGAUGUCGGCUCAUCACAUCCGGGGGCUGUAGUAGGUCCCAAGGGUUGGGCUGUUCGCCCAUUAAAGUGGUACGCGAGCUGGGUUCAGAACGUCGUGAGACAGUUCGGUCCCUAUCCGUCGCAGGCGUAGGAAAUUUGAGAAGACCUGU
Molecule: ribosomal RNA, 437 nt
Filed under: Clostridioides difficile
Lineage: Bacteria; Bacillati; Bacillota; Clostridia; Peptostreptococcales; Peptostreptococcaceae
Description: bacterial LSU rRNA
Rfam family: Bacterial large subunit ribosomal RNA
Source: RNAcentral